UCCCCUGAUUCACUGAAUGGCCUUCGGCCCUCUGGUCACUGGGCUGGGCCUGUCUUCCACUGUUGGUCCGGAUAUGAAUUCUUGGUGCCACAAGGCGGGCCAGACUAACCUACCGAACAGCCCAGCCUCAAAGGGCACGAUUGUUCCAUUGGCACUUGGCAGUUCACUUUGGUUGGGUGAAGAGAACAUCUACUUAUAAGAAACCAGAGUUAACAUGCUAGACCGAAACAAGACAAACAUAUCCAUAACUACUUCAAGUUAAUUGGGCAAAGACUUUAACUGACAUUAAUUGGCAGCCCGCAGAAUUCCAAUCACGAGUGGAGUUUUGAAUAGAUUCUCUCUUCCACAUUUGAGAUCCUGAGUCACGUGAUAAGUCAUAUAUGGAGCACAUAGGAACACAAGGCUUUGGGUGUCCACUCAGUGCAAUUCCUCGUCGCCUGUAUAUCUGAUGAUACCUCCUGGGCGUAAUGCAUGUGAUAUAACCUGGCCUGCAACAAGGCCAGAUACAGCACAGGACUCACAUGAUUCGGCCCCAGCUUGGUUUAUUUUCCACGUUCAUGAUUUUAAGCCCAAGCCCAAAAAGUUAGGUAAUCGGACGGCUCAAGCCAGGUUGGAUCAGGGAUAAUUGGAAUCCAGUUUUUC
Molecule: long non-coding RNA, 642 nt
Filed under: Elaeis guineensis (African oil palm)
Lineage: Eukaryota; Viridiplantae; Streptophyta; Magnoliopsida; Arecales; Arecaceae
Description: long non-coding RNA (EGUI_LNC041543)
Source: RNAcentral